This 329-nucleotide ribosomal RNA is filed under the name uncultured eukaryote. Its description in RNAcentral is "partial 18S ribosomal RNA". It matches the Rfam family "Eukaryotic small subunit ribosomal RNA", at positions 1470 to 1796 of the family's 1831-position model. The record is from RNAcentral.
CCCUUAGAUGUUCUGGGCCGCACGCGCGCUACACUGAUGCAUUCAACGAGUCUAAAACCUGCUCUGAUAGGGGUGGGUAAUCUUUUGAAUGUGCAUCGUGAUUGGGAUAGAUGAUUGAAAUUUUUCAUCUUCGACGAGGAAUGCCUAGUAAACGCAAGUCAUCAGCUUGCAUUGAUUACGUCCCUGCCCUUUGUACACACCGCCCGUCGCUCCUACCGAUUGAAUGAUCCGAUGAAUAUCAUGGAUUGAGGAUGCAAGUAGGUUCACCUAUCUUCAUCUUCGAGAAGUGAAGUAAAUCUUAUCAUUUAGAGGAAGGAGAAGUCGUAACA